Molecule: transfer RNA, 73 nt
Filed under: Canis lupus familiaris (dog)
Lineage: Eukaryota; Metazoa; Chordata; Mammalia; Carnivora; Canidae
Also listed under: 1 other name
Rfam family: tRNA
About the family: Transfer RNA (tRNA) molecules are approximately 80 nucleotides in length. Their secondary structure includes four short double-helical elements and three loops (D, anti-codon, and T loops).
Source: Rfam by way of RNAcentral
ACCUGGCUGGCUCAGUCAGAAGAGUGUAUGACUCUUGAACUCAAGAUUGUGGGUUUGAGCCCCAUGUUGGGUA